This is a small nuclear RNA of Ochotona curzoniae (black-lipped pika), 107 nucleotides long. NCBI's taxonomy places the organism in Eukaryota, Metazoa, Chordata, Mammalia, Lagomorpha, Ochotonidae. The record is from RefSeq and is a predicted model, not a curated record.
GUGCUUGCUUUGGCAGCAUAUAUACUAAAAUUGGAAUGAUACAGAGGAGAUUAUAAUGGCCUCUGAGCAAGGAUGACACACAAAUUUGUGAAGCAUUCUAUAUUUUU